GAUGAACGCUGGCGGCGUGCCUAAUACAUGCAAGUCGAGCGAACAGACGAGGAGCUUGCUCCUCUGAUGUUAGCGGCGGACGGGUGAGUAACACGUGGAUAACCUACCUAUAAGACUGGGAUAACUUCGGGAAACCGGAGCUAAUACCGGAUAACAUGUUGAACCGCAUGGUUCAACAGUGAAAGACGGUCUUGCUGUCACUUAUAGAUGGAUCCGCGCCGCAUUAGGUAGUUGGUAAGGUAACGGCUUACCAAGGCAACGAUGCGUAGCCGACCUGAGAGGGUGAUCGGCCACACUGGAACUGAGACACGGUCCAGACUCCUACGGGAGGCAGCAGUAGGGAAUCUUCCGCAAUGGGCGAAAGCCUGACGGAGCAACGCCGCGUGAGUGAAGAAGGUCUUCGGAUCGUAAAACUCUGUUAUUAGGGAAGAACAAAUGUGUAAGUAACUAUGCACGUCUUGACGGUACCUAAUCAGAAAGCCACGGCUAACUACGUG
This 497-nucleotide ribosomal RNA is filed under the name uncultured bacterium. RNAcentral describes it as "partial 16S ribosomal RNA". It matches the Rfam family "Bacterial small subunit ribosomal RNA", at positions 28 to 507 of the family's 1533-position model. The record is from RNAcentral.